GAGCGGUGCGAAUGAGGCGGCGGCGCUGCCGGUCUGACGGCCCCCGCGGGGCGCCGCUGCUCUUCAGGCAGGAAUGCGGCCGCGUCAUCGCGGAGGGGCCGCCCGCCGGUACCGCACCGCGCCGCCCCCCGGCCGGCCCGGCCCGGCCCGACCCUGCCCUUCCCGUCCGGCCCCCAGGGGACGGCAGCGUGCGGGCACGGUGAGGCGAAGCCCGCUGCUUGCCGUGGGGCCGGUGCUUGCGAACUGUCCUUGUAUAUAGAAAACCACGAUGAGGUUUCUGCGCUCGUUUAUGAGAAUAAAAACUGGUAAAAUACAUUUAGGAAGAAAAAUCGCAAUUUCUGUGUCUAAUGGCUCCAUUAUUGGAGGGCUCGCUGUGCGGCGUGUGAGUGCUAUUCGCACUGCGCUGGAAUAUCGAGUCUGUAAAAUCUUUGCCCAUUUAGCCCGUUUGAUGGUCCAAAUGGUCUACUUUUUCAAGCGGUUUUAAGUAAUGCCUCACUGAUUGAAUUAUAAUUUUCCUGACUGUAAUUGCCAAGAAUGUCCUUGGCAAAACAUACAUACAAUGUGUUUCAUCCAAUUUUGAAAUAUAUUUUGUAAUCAGAAUAAUAAAAGUUAAUAUUCAUCAGUUCCUCCCA
Molecule: long non-coding RNA, 632 nt
Organism: Oxyura jamaicensis (ruddy duck)
Lineage: Eukaryota; Metazoa; Chordata; Aves; Anseriformes; Anatidae
Exons: 2
Source: RefSeq, a predicted model, not a curated record